GCAAUAGCUGACUAGGGUUCCGGCUCGUUUGAAAAAGCGAGUGGCUGGUCCGAGAGUCGGCGACCUCCAGUAGAGGUUACACGGCGGGAUAAAAGCCCGGGAGAC
Molecule: small RNA, 105 nt
Filed under: Pseudomonas sp.
Lineage: Bacteria; Pseudomonadati; Pseudomonadota; Gammaproteobacteria; Pseudomonadales; Pseudomonadaceae
Description: Guanidine-I sequence
Rfam family: Guanidine-I riboswitch aptamer
About the family: This family represents a conserved RNA structure found upstream of the ykkC and yxkD genes in Bacillus subtilis and related genes in other bacteria. The function of this family is unclear although it has been suggested that it may function to switch on efflux pumps and detoxification systems in response to harmful environmental molecules.
Source: RNAcentral